AGAGACUUAGGAUAGCUAGACCGAAGGCCUUCAAAGCCUUAAGCGGGAGUGGAACCCUCCCAGUCUCUG
This 69-nucleotide transfer RNA is filed under the name Gymnothorax reticularis. RNAcentral describes it as "tRNA-Trp". It matches the Rfam family "tRNA". Rfam says of the family: Transfer RNA (tRNA) molecules are approximately 80 nucleotides in length. Their secondary structure includes four short double-helical elements and three loops (D, anti-codon, and T loops). The record is from RNAcentral. Lineage: Eukaryota; Metazoa; Chordata; Actinopteri; Anguilliformes; Muraenidae.